CAGGUCUGAAUGAUGGCCAGGUUGUGAUGA
Molecule: non-coding RNA, 30 nt
Filed under: Mus musculus (house mouse)
Lineage: Eukaryota; Metazoa; Chordata; Mammalia; Rodentia; Muridae
Source: RNAcentral